This 327-nucleotide ribosomal RNA is filed under the name uncultured bacterium. RNAcentral describes it as "bacterial SSU rRNA". It matches the Rfam family "Bacterial small subunit ribosomal RNA", at positions 28 to 334 of the family's 1533-position model. The record is from RNAcentral.
GACGAACGCUGGCGGCGUGCUUAACACAUGCAAGUCGAACGGGGAUAUACUGGAGGAGAGCUUCGGCAGGAAUCGGGUAUAUUCCAGUGGCGGACGGGUGAGUAACGCGUGAGCAACCUGUCCCAGACAGGGGGAUAACACUUGGAAACAGGUGCUAAUACCGCAUAAGACCACGGGGUCACAUGGCCCAGGGGUAAAAGGUGCAAACCGGUUUGGGGUGGGCUCGCGUCCGAUUAGAUAGUUGGUGAGGUAACGGCCCACCAAGUCGACGAUCGGUAACCGACCUGAGAGGGUGAUCGGCCACAUUGGAACUGAGAGACGGUCCAA